Molecule: ribosomal RNA, 496 nt
Filed under: uncultured bacterium
Lineage: Bacteria
Description: partial 16S ribosomal RNA
Rfam family: Bacterial small subunit ribosomal RNA
Source: RNAcentral
GAUGAACGCUGGCGGCGUGCCUAAUACAUGCAAGUCGAGCGAACGGACGAGAAGCUUGCUUCUCUGAUGUUAGCGGCGGACGGGUGAGUAACACGUGGAUAACCUACCUAUAAGACUGGGAUAACUUCGGGAAACCGUAGCUAAUACCGGAUAAUAUUUUGAACCGCAUGGUUCAAAAGUGAAAGACGGUCUUGCUGUCACUUAUAGAUGGAUCCGCGCUGCAUUAGCUAGUUGGUAAGGUAACGGCUUACCAAGGCAACGAUGCAUAGCCGACCUGAGAGGGUGAUCGGCCACACUGGAACUGAGACACGGUCCAGACUCCUACGGGAGGCAGCAGUAGGGAAUCUUCCGCAAUGGGCGAAAGCCUGACGGAGCAACGCCGCGUGAGUGAUGAAGGUCUUCGGAUCGUAAAACGCUGUUAUUAGGGAAGAACAUAUGUGUAAGUAACUGUGCACAUCUUGACGGUACCUAAGCAGAAAGCCACGGCUAACUACGU